UUUUCUCUGUUCUUUCUUUAUCUCUCAGUCCUGUCCCUCCCCUACCGGAGCUCCUCCCGAGCUCGCUCAUGCGGUCCUGCCUCGGACAAACUGCUAGCUGUUGGUGAGGAGAGAAGCAGGGGACGAGCGGCAUCGACGAGGAUGCAGCGACGGUGGAAGGAGAGCUGCACGCGGGGGGCAUCUCCAGGAGCUCCACCUCAUGGUUCUCCAGAAAUUUUGGAGUCAGUGCCAUAUGCUUCCCCUUCCUCGCCUCCCCUUCAUCUUCUUCUCACUUUGAAAUUCCCCCUAUUUUUCCGAUUCUUUCCUGGUACUCCUUCCUGGCGCGGUAAAUUCGGCUACUAAGACGCACCGUCCGGUGGCGUGCUUACUUUGACGUUCAUGGCGUCAUUGGCGACUCGGAAGUUCGCAGCAGGAGCAGGGUGAAAAUAUGCGAUUUGAUCUACUUCCGUCCCUCUCCUUAGUUUAAUUUCUCUCACGUGCGGAUGCCUUCUAUCCCUAUGAACGCGGCAUGUCGGGUACACCGGUGUUCUGCGUGAUUGAGAUGCGGCAUGGGUGGGUUGGCGAUCGGGGCGUGGGGUGCUCCGGGAGCAACGCCUGCGUCGUGGAUCGUCCCUACACUGAGAGGAACCAGGCGCACGCUCGAUCCUAUUUGUUGUCCAGGAAUUGACGAGGUGGAGGAGCAGACCACUCUAUGGGCAACGACAUGCUUCAUUGCGAGGAUGCAAAAUAGAUUUGACUACGAUUCAUUGUAAAACAGAUCCAAUUCAGAGCUGAUUUCAAAUUGGUCUUGGGCAGCUCAGUAAAAGCCAACAUCAGAGAAAGAUUAUAACAGUGAAUCUUCUCAAAAUUCUUAUACCAUGCUGCACAAUAUCUUUUGGUAGUCUAUUUCACACGAACAUGGAUGAUAACGACGGUUGUUCAUCUGCCAUUCUUAAAUAAAUUUAUGCUUGGAGCAGAUAGGAGGCGAUUCAUCUGAAGUCGUGUAUGUACUUCAUGUCUUGGUGUAAUGGGGGAGGCGUUGGUGCUCUGCAGUUUUUGUUUCAGGUUGGUUGUACCUCCUUGAAUACAUCUAGGCAACAUGAGACCCUGGGAUUUGUUUCAGCUCGAUGGUUAUGUCUGAUAAGAACUUUAGCAGGAUAUUUCUUAUGCUGUUAUGCUAACGCUUCUGUCAUAAAAUAGCAACAUGAGGCGCUGGGAUUUUCAGACAUGCAUCCCUGUAGGUCCCCUUCCAUGUAUAUUGACCUGUUUUGUUUCCUUCCAGGGUUAUUGAUAUGUUUUUGUGGGUACUAAAAUGAUGUAUUUAGUGGCAAGGACCAAUAGUUCUAGAAAUGACUCCUACGAUAUUUUUAUCGUGUUUACAAGCAGCUCGACAUAUGUGUUAUUCUGCGGAGUAUAUGUUCUCUUUCAUGGUAAUCCACAUUAAGAUAAACUUCAUCACAUAUUGACCUUGGUAUGAGAUUUACGUGUUCUCUAUGUCGAUACAACAACGUAUGAUAUUUAAAUAACGUUUGAUUCACUAUAUUGUUCUUCAUAUUAAAUUAUAUUCUUUUGACACAACAAACAAUUUUCAUAUUCACAUCAGGACCAUGCAUUUAUUUCCAUUUGACAACUGACUUAAGAAGAAUUGAACAAAAUGUUGUUCGUCUGAGUUACUUGCCGUUAGUACUAAGUCUGAACACAGCUCAAAAGCCUAACUUUUGACGUACUGUUGUUUCUGCAGCAAAUUUUCUCAAAAAGCUUCAUGUUUCUUUAUUAAUGUCAAGUGUCUAAAUCUGCAAGAGGGAUAUUCCGUGUUUUUUUUUCAAGUCCAUGAUUGGUUAUAAUCCACUACUUUUCCAUAUACUCAAAAUGGUAAUUGUGAAGGAAACUACAGCCUUUGUCAGUCAAACGUCCACAUCAUUUCGCUUCCAUUAUGCUUUUCAAGCAGUUAAUUAUAGUGUCGUGUAAUUGAGCAAUGACAAGUCUAAGUUGCACAGGUUAGGAAAGUCUUGUAGCACGCAAUCCAACUAUGCUUGCUCGAAGGCUAAUCAGCCUGAAGUUCUGUGUAAAAUAGUACAAAGUUAUUUAAGCAAACAACUAUGACUCUCAUAGGUAGAUAUAUGCACCGUUCAUCCAUUUGUAAAGCACCUCUUGCUUUACCAACCAUAUUCCUGCAAAUAUGCUACUGUAUAUCAAUUGCAAUCUACAGUUCCAGGUAAGUUCAAUUGCAUGCCAAUGAUUCUGAUAUAUCUAUGCUGUACAUCCAGCUAAUAAAUAAUGAUUUAUGUCUUUUUCAUCUUCAGGAUACAGCUGGAGCUAUGUCAAGGGAAGACCACGAUCAGUUUUAUUUACUUCAUUUUGUUCCCUUUGAAAUGAAUGUUACUCCGCUCUUCUGUCAUGAGUUAAAGGUUUGCAUAUUCUCAAUGCAUAUUUUUAUUAUUAUAUUAGUGUUCAAGCCAUCGAUACAGUGUCGUGAGUUAAAGGUUUGCAUAUUCUCAAUGCAUAUUUCUUUAUUUUAUUAGUGUUCAAGCCAUCGAUACAACUCUAAUUUCUCCUGUGAAGGUACCAUUGGCAGAGAGUUUUGUUGCUAAGAUAACCAUGUUGAUUUCAGUACCACAUGUUUCUUGGAACAUCUAGAAUAGAUUAUCAAGUGAUUUUCUGUCAAUAUUCAUUUAAUUCAUUCUUGGCAAACAUGGUAUUUUUUAUCGCUUCUAUGAAAAUACUCCAGCCGCACUUACCAUUAUUCUAUUUUGCCACACACAUCAGACAAGGUAUUUGAUUUGUAGUUGUCAAGCCAAGGCAAUGAUGACACACUAUACCAUAUUCUUGGUUUCAUGGAUAGUAAGGUCAACAAGAAAAAUAAUGUGGGCACCCAAAUUGAGUGUCAUCAUGGAACCCUAGAUGUUGCAUUGAGCUACUACAUAGCACAUUGUCGCAUUGGUGGGCACCAAAUUCUCACAUGGUAGAUUCUAGAUUACUUUGUGGUAUAUGUUCUACAGAUUUCCUAGCUUUUACUUCCAUAAACAUUAGAUGCGUAUAUAUAUUUUAAGUACUGUGAGGGAGAUAAAUUAAUCAUAUUGUGAGAUUUCCUAGCACGUUGGACCAAUUUUCCGCUCUCAUAGGAGAAAUUAGUCAUAUUGGGAGGGAGAAACUAAUCAUAUUUGUUGGCACCUUGGUUUAGACAUAUAUACUAUUAACAACAAAGUUAUCUGGUCUAUUGUGUGCCCAUCAAUAUUUGUUAGUUUUGACCUGCGAGUAGGACAUAUUUUGUGAGAUGCCAAAUACGUGAUAAGAUUUUCUGUUAUUUGAGAUGGAUGAUGAGUUAGUCCCUAUAAACUGGGUUCAUUUAUUUUGCUGCUGGCAUGCAUGGUCAUUGUUCUUUUGUGAUGUGCUUUGUCUCCUAUACUGACAUUCUUUUCUACAGUAUGCUAAAUAACUAUUUUGUUCAAUUUCAUUGCCACACAUGGGUAUAAUUAUAAUCAACUUAUUUCCCAAGGUAUAUACACAAUCUCCCAAAUUUUAGCAAUGCGUAAAAGCUCCAUUUCAGAAUAAGAGUUGAAAUGGUUUGCACGUUCAAUAGUUUCAGAAGCUGAAAUGGGAUGUCUAAAACAUAGUAUUUGGGACAACCUUUUGCUCCAUUUGGUAGGAUAUACAAAAAGGUUACAAAGAGGGAUAUUGAGAGCUAUUUCCUUCAUAUGCUCUGAAUAUUUCCUUCCAUCCCUAGUUGAAUGGAUCGCCAAUAUCUUUCUGUAAUUUUCUUCCUUCUUCUUAGACACUCUUUUCCACCUUGAUCUCUUAAGCCUUGGUUAAGGCUAGCUGUAACUUGUAAAUAUUCGUUAUAUAUAAAAAAAUUACACCGUAGGGACUUUUCCCUACGGUACAGGUGUCAAAAAAAAAUAUUUCCUUCCAUGAAUAAACCUGCAAGAUUAUGAUGUUCUCGCUAUUUUUCUUUGCCACUGAAUCUAUCAUAAUUUACACACUGCAAUAAUUCAUGUUGAACACGCUCAUUUCAGCUGAAUGUCCGUUGUCUAUGCCUCUUACCUAUUGUAAGCCAAGAUUAUUUCAUGAAGUGUUAGAUUAUUUAGUUUGUCAAUGCAUAGAUGUUUAGCAUUUAUAAGAUUCUCUUUAUUUAAAUUAAUCAUGGAAAUGGUCAUCCUUAAUGAGAUAUGUCUGCUGAGAGCUGCUUUUCACUAAUCUUUUUUUCCUUUUCUUAGAUCAGUUACACCUUAAUCAUCUUAAUUUCUUCGCCGUUUUCACAAUUUAGAGCCAAUAACAGAAAUGAUAGAUAUAUCAAAUGUUAACAUAUCACAAUUUCCAGUCAUUUCAAUGAUGGUAUGCGUACUGGUAGGCUUUCCAGGUUGAUGGAGGAGGUGCCCUACAUGGCUGAAGAUGAUAUAAACCAUGAAGCCAUAUGAUGGAGAACGAGAACUUCAUCACUUGGAAAGAUAUGACGGCUUCCCUGGUGACUAUGAAGCCGAGCCUUCAAUGGAGAGGUAGCCAUUCCAUCCCUAGACAACUACACCAAAGGCCAUUGUCCUCUCAUCCAACGACAAGGACAAUGAAUAAAAGCAUUGAUGUCUAUCAUGUUCUGUUAAUGUCCGCUUGGCUUUAGUUGCCGGAUGUGUGUCGUGUUCUGAAUUUGGCAGAAACCAUGCUAUUCUAUGUUUUGUUGUGUCCAGUAAAUUGGUGAACUUUGAGAUGAGAUAUGUGAGAACAUAAAUAUUAUUUACUUGGCCUUUCUCCUA
Long non-coding RNA from Lolium perenne, 4724 nucleotides. RefSeq lists it as uncharacterized. Lineage: Eukaryota; Viridiplantae; Streptophyta; Magnoliopsida; Poales; Poaceae. The record is from RefSeq and is a predicted model, not a curated record.